This 427-nucleotide ribosomal RNA is filed under the name uncultured bacterium. RNAcentral's name for it is "bacterial SSU rRNA". It matches the Rfam family "Bacterial small subunit ribosomal RNA", at positions 355 to 774 of the family's 1533-position model. The record is from RNAcentral.
UGGGGAAUAUUGGACAAUGGGCGAAAGCCUGAUCCAGCCAUGCCGCGUGUGUGAAGAAGGUCUUCGGAUUGUAAAGCACUCUAAGUUGGGAGGAAGAGCAGUUACCUAAUACGUGAUUGUUUUGACGUUACCGACAGAAUAAGCACCGCCUAAUUCUGUGCCAGCAGCCGCGGUAAUACAGAGGGUGCAAGCGUUAAUCGGAAUUACUGGGCGUAAAGCGCGCGCAGGUGGUUAGUUAAGUUGGAUGUGAAAUCCCCGGGCUCAACUGUGGGACUGCAGUCAAGACUGGCUGACUAGAGUAUGGUAGAGGGUGGUGGAAUUUCCUGUGUAGCGGUGAAAUGCGUAGAUAUAAGAAGGAACACCAGUGGCGAAGGCGACCACCUGGACCGAUACUGACACUGAGGUGCGAAAGCGUGGGGAGCAAACA